Molecule: long non-coding RNA, 128 nt
Organism: Etheostoma spectabile (orangethroat darter)
Lineage: Eukaryota; Metazoa; Chordata; Actinopteri; Perciformes; Percidae
Exons: 3
Source: RefSeq, a predicted model, not a curated record
UGAGUCGGGCUUUGCACCAAUUACAACCAUUGAGGUGGGCUUUACACAAUGACGAUAGUUCUGCAACAGCAAGCAGCUUUUUGUUUACAUUCAACAUGAUGGCUACCGAAUUGCAGCAACCCGUUGAU